UCGGGCGUCGUGCGCAGUUGGGCUAGACGCCCUAGUGUGGGGUCAGAGAAAAUUCCCCUUUGAACGGUCGGCAGCGACCUUUGCCCAGUCGUGGCGUUCUGCCGUGGGGUCGCAGGGCCGUGGCGGGCAGGGAGCCAGGUUGGCUGCAGGCGCGGCGGGGGCGCUCGCUCCCCGCCUCUUCCCUCAUUCCCUCCCCCGCGCUCCAGAGCUCCUGACCCCAAAGGGAGCCGUGAUUCCCAGCAGGCCUGUAUUUUAAUUCCAAGCAAGGAGUUGAAGAUUUCCAGCUAUUUAUUCUCCAGUAUUCUCCAAGCAAGAACACUGAGUGGGUUGCCUUUCCCUUCUCCAGGAUAUCUUCCUGACCCUGGGAUUGAAUCCGGGUCUCCCGCAUUGCGGGCAGAUUCUUUACCAUCUGAGCCCCCAAGGAAGUCAUGGAAACCUUCCUGUUCUCGGAGCCUCUCUGUGUCUGGAUGGCCUCAAAUGUAUGUGGGAGAGGAUGGGGAACAGAUU
This is a long non-coding RNA of Dama dama (fallow deer), 507 nucleotides long. RefSeq lists it as uncharacterized. NCBI's taxonomy places the organism in Eukaryota, Metazoa, Chordata, Mammalia, Artiodactyla, Cervidae. The transcript is spliced from 3 exons. The record is from RefSeq and is a predicted model, not a curated record.